CACCUUUAAGAUUAAGCGUUCUUAUCCAGAGGUCACAAAAUCAUUGUCUUCAACACUUGAAUGUAUCCACCAUAUCAAAAUAUUGCAUCCAAAUUUGGAAUGGUCAAAGAAAAACCAAGGUAUUGUCAAAGAAGAGGUAAGUGAAUAUUAUUCACAACAUAUUCAGUUUUCUAACAUGUUAUUUGUAUAUGUGCAGUUCCAAAGUAUGGAUUUUAUAAAAUUAUAUAGUAGAAGGCAUUAAAAGUAACAAGGCAGUAAAACGGAGUGGUUGUCCCCUUCACUAAUUCUGCAACA
Molecule: long non-coding RNA, 294 nt
Organism: Hippocampus zosterae (dwarf seahorse)
Lineage: Eukaryota; Metazoa; Chordata; Actinopteri; Syngnathiformes; Syngnathidae
Exons: 2
Source: RefSeq, a predicted model, not a curated record